UGUGUGUGUCUAUCUCUGUCCAAACUUCCCCUUUUUAUAAGGACAACAUUCAUAUUGGAUUAGGGUCCACCCUAAUGACCUCACUUUAAUUCGGCUACUCUAUAAAGACCACAACCCUAAAUAAGGUCACACUCUAAAGUACUGGGGGUUAGAACUUCAACACAUGAACUUGCAGGGGAGACACAAUUCAACCCAUAGCACCACCCUGGAAGCUGGAGAACAAGGAAAGAAACAGUUUCUGGAGCCUAAGACAAGAUAAGCUGGAACAAAGAGGGCCUGCCAAGAUGGGUAGCAGGGAUCACACAGAGAUGGCUGUGUAGUGGGAACUGCAGCCACAGAAGAGACUCCUGAGAAAGAGAAGCAGGAGAAGUACUCUGGCUUCUCCUUCCUUCACCUCCAAUAUCUUUUGCCCUCCCUCACUCCCCAUUGGCUGAACUUUACUGGAAGGCAGUUGGCUCUGGAGCCUGGAACAGCCCCCAGUGACACAGAGCAGAUCGGGGGACCACGGGAUGGGAAGGGUGGACAUGGCUCUGACAGCAACAAUGUAACACCCAUGCAACGAGUCUGCGAGGCCGAAUGGAAGCCAGCUGGCUGCAGGGGAGAGAGCAAGAGAGUCUGGCAGAAGGUGCACCUGGAGAAGGAAGUAGAGGCCAGGCCAGGAAACUACAGAGGCCCUUUGGUGCUCCCCAGCUCUCCUUGUUUUCCUGUUUCUAAGCAUCUGAGUGCAUCCUGAUAGCUGUGGACAGCAGAGAUUUGGAACAGGAGAUUGAAGAAGUCUCAUCUACUGCCAUGCUUGGCACAUAGUAGGCACUCAACACAUGCUAGACUCUCCCCACCUCCUGUUGCUUCUUGGCACCAGGCUUCACUCUGGACAAGAGUUAACAUCUCAUCCUUUACCCAUGUCUUCUUUGACUGAACAUCUCGCUAUUAGUGGGAGAUGGGUCAAAGAAGUAUUCACUCAUCCUUUCAUCCAACAAUACUGACAGAGCACCUGCCCUGUGCCAGGCUCAGCCAGAGGCUGGAGAUAAAGACAUGAAUGAGACCCCUGGUGACGGGUGAGAGACAAAGCAAAGGGCUCAUUUCCAUAGAGGAUGAUGGGGAUUCACAUAUGGGGUUGGGCAAGGCACACAAUAGAGCAGGGUGAUAUGGUUGGCUUUGUGUCCCCACCCAAAUCUCGUCUUGAAUUGUAGUUACCAUAAUCCCCAUGUGUCAUAGGAGGGACCUGGUGGGAGGUAAUUGAAUCAUGGAAAUGGUUUCCACCAUGCUGUUCUUGUGAUAGUGAGUGAGUUCUCAUGAGAGCUGAUGGUUUUAUAAGGGGCUUUUCCCCUCUUCACAUUGGACUACUCUCUCCUGCUGCCACGUGAAGAAGGCCAUGUUUGCUUCCCCUUCUGCCAUGACUAUAAGUUUCCUGAGGCCUCCCCAGCCAUGUGAAACUGUAAGUCAAUUAAAUCUUUUUUAAAUAAAUUACCCAUUCUUGGGUAUGUUCUUAUAGCAGCAUGAGAAUGAACUAAUACACAGGGUGACAUGAGAAGGCUUCCUGGGAGACAGUGCCUGAGCUGAUCUCUGAUGAGAAAGUAAGAGGAGGACAUUCCAGGUACAGGGAACAACAUGUGCAAACACACAAGGCUGAAGUAAACAAACAGGAAGCUGUGAAAAAGGACAGUGAUGAAUGACUAGCCCAACAGGGUAAUUUUGACCCCCAGGGUACAUUUGGCAACAACUGGAGACUUUUUGUUUGCUUUCCACAAUUGUGUGUGUGUGCAUGUAUGCACAUGUGUGUGCAAGUGUCUGCUACUGGCAUCUAAUAGGUAGAGGUCAGGGAUGCUGCCGAACAUCCUACAGUGCACAAGAUAGCCCCCCAUGACAAAGAAUUAUAUCUGGCCCAAGAUGUUGAGAAACCCUGGACUAGAACAACAAACAUAAAAACAUAUUAUAGUACUUUGACAAUUAAAACUUCAUAGUACUAGCACAUGAAUAGAUA
Molecule: long non-coding RNA, 1981 nt
Filed under: Homo sapiens (human)
Lineage: Eukaryota; Metazoa; Chordata; Mammalia; Primates; Hominidae
Description: HSALNT0032669
Source: RNAcentral